AUUUCCCCCUUCUCGCUUUCCCUUGGAGUAUUUAUUUCUCCAUGCUGCCAUCGAAGGGAAUUAGCACGUCUGCUUGUUUGGUAGAUGCGAUAAGGAGUUGUUAUAUAUUGUUUGGCAUACGGAUGCGAUUAGAAGUCAGUUCAGUUUGAUGUUCAAUUUGGAGAAACAUUCAUUCGAUUGAAUGUGUUUAAUCAUCAAAUGCAGGUGCUUGCAUUCUUAGAUAGCUAAGAUUAUACUCCCUCCGUUCCAUAAUUCUUGUCUCAAAUUUGCCCAAAAAUGGAUGUAUCUAUUUCUAGAAAGCAUCUAGAUACAUGUAAUAUUUCGACAAGAAUUAUGGAACGGAGGGAAUAUGUCAGUAUGAUUCUUGUUAUGACAUGGAUUGUUCCUGUUUAUUUACGGUGUUGUUGAUGCUUGGCCCAAUUGAGAAAAAUCUGACUUGGGUAAGGACCCCUCUGCUCUCUCUGAAUUCUAUUUUCAUGAAACUUUGCACCCUGCGAGAAUCUGACUUUGAACUGCUAUUAGUUUUGGUUUCAUGUGUUUCAUUAACCCUCUCUUUUUACUUCCAAUACCCACUUUCAUGUGGAGGAUCAGUGGUGAAGUGUUUUUAUGAUGUCAGUUCUCCUAUGUCUACUUCUAUCUAUUAUGGUCUGCUAUGUCAGUUCUCCUAUGUCUACUUCUAUCUAUUAUAUCCUGAGUAAAUGUGGAAGCCACACCAGGCUUGAAUUAUUGAGCAGCUGCAUGCCCUAGGAGUAGGCCAUGCUGUCAUUGUCAAUUUGUCAUGGUGGUUUCUCCAGCUUGGUUAGAGGCUGGCUCCCAUUUUCAAAAUUCAAAUUUCAAACUGCAACAAAUGAUGCAUUAUAUACCUAUUAAUGUUUCAUUUUGCCCAUGUCCAUAUAAUUCUCAAUAAGUCUCUUGGUUUUUUAUUAUUCGAACAAACACAACUCUACCUGAUUCAACUAUUUUUGCACACAAAGUGUUGGCAGAACACUUCCAUCACUGCUACGGAGCCCAUGUUUAGAUCUGCAUUGAGGUUUCACAAUCAACUCUUCCUGAUAUCAAGGGACAAACUGCUGAGUCAAGUCCAAUACCUAUAUAUCCAGAUAUAUUUAUAUUUCUUAUACAAGAACCUAGCUCAUAUCUGUGUGUAGAACACUUCCAUAACUGCUACAGAGUCCAAUACGUUUGGAAUCAAGACUAAGUAUCCUUUCCCGUUCUUGCUUUUGCUCUAUCAUUUGCCUUGCCCCAUGGUUGCUAUGGCAGUAAUGAUUCCUUUAUAUUUGGAAGGUUCUUUUCUUCUGAACAUAAGGAUCCUUUCUCAGUGGAACGUAUUUUAAUUCAGUUCUCUGCUUUUAAGCUUGGGGUCUUCCAUAAUAUAAGUGUUGACAUUUAGCUGGAAUUUACUUACUAGAGUUGUGGAUGUUGUCAUCUCAAUUAGGAAACAAGAAACUUUCUUGCACUGGAAUGCUUGGUUACACCUCACAUUUAUUGCAUUUUUUUUGCAGUUAAUAAAAGAACAUGGAUACCUUAUGAAAUUACACAGAUGGUCGACAGGAAAACAUAUGAUGUCGAACUUCAUGUAAAAUUGUGAUAAGUUCAGUUCGGAAACAUCACUGACUGCAUAGCAAGGAUUCGAGUCCAACAAAUACAUUGUUUUUCCCGUGUAUCUUGGAGCCGUGCGAGCGUGGUGGCAGAGUGGAGCAAUGCUUCAAUCAAGCACAUGUGCGGCUACUGAUUACUUAAUAACCCCUCACAAAUUGCUCAUUGAAUUUGUGAAAAAAAUUCCAUGGCAGAAGGCUCGGCUUUGGUUCACGUGAGGCCGCCGAGGGAUCGCUAGCCGAGCUGCGGCUCACCUGCAAUUGCAUCAGAGAGAUCUAUCUGGAUCAUGCUUGACCGGGCCAUCAGCCAGGCGUCCAGCACUCUGUCUCCAAGGAUAUAUGGUGCAAUUUUACUAUUUUGUGAAAAAGCAGUGCAACACUUAGACAUUUGCCAUGCUAUUACCGACAGCUUUGUUUUCUGAAAUCAGUUAUUAAUCUGGAUAUGGUUAUGUGGCAAGUGACAGAAUACUAGAUUGACAGUUUGAUAUACAUUGCAGGCCGUCCUAGAAGAGAUUGACGGGUCAAUGUUCGUCAUCCAUGGCAUGGCCUCCUCCUCCCAUUACUAUGUGCGCCGAGGAAGGCCAUCCUGUUGCACGUGCCGGCAUACAGGAUGCCGCAUGCUGCCGGACCAUGUGGAGCAUGCUGGCGCAGGAGUAGUCCUUCAAGAAGGAACAUCUGCAUCCUCACCCGACGAUGGAUGACAUAGUUAGAGAUAGUACUUUAGAGUUUAUUAGAGUUGUGACGGCGGGCAGACCUAAAGCAUCCUGCGUGAUGUUGUUAAUGAUGGAUAAAUUAAAGGGGAGAUGCAAAAUUUUGUUAUGUCAAAAUAGUAGCAGCCGCAGACAAUGAUAAAUUGCUUUUAUUGUACUAGCUGUACUAGCUCUUGGAGUAAUUGCUUUUAUUGUACUAGCUGUACUAAGGGGAUUAGCCGGCCAUCUGACUACGACCUAGUUCUCGUGAGAUCUCGUCUAAUCCCAACAGAAACAAGUCCACCCUACCGAUCUGGGAGGCGCUGGAGUGCUCGGGAAGGCCAGGAACAACGGCGUCCUCUCCCGUCGUCGGCCAGUGCCAAUACAGGCCGAAGGGACGCGCUACCUCAGCCGUACGACUACUUCGCCUACUUCCACGACAAUGGCGUCCUCCUCCAUCGCGCCCGCUACAUUGAUGCGUUAUGACAACAUUGAGGUGCUAACAGGGAGCAACUUCCAGAAUUGGAAGUCCCAUGUCGAAAUGAGUUUGGGGUCAAUGGACUCGAUUAUGCUCUCAGGGAAGAGAAACCUAAGCCUCCAACUCCUGGAGUUGCUGGGUAUGAUGAACUUAUGAAAACUUAUGAAAUAAAGCUGGAGAAGUGGGACAAUUCAAAUCAUGUCGCCUUUCUUGUUAUGAAAACUUAUGAAAUAAAGCUGAAGAAGUGGGACAAUUCAAAUCAUGUCGCCUUUUCUAGUUAUGAAAACUUCAUCUCCCCUGAUAUUAUUGGGGCUCUCCCCGACAAGGGCACUGCUAAAGAAUUUCUUAAAGCAGUUGAAGAACAAUUCAAAAGUUCGGAAAAAGUAUAUUCUCGAGAACUUCUUGGCAAGCUUCUUGAGAAGUAUGUGAUUGAAGGAAAUGUAAGAGGCUAUAUCUUGAGGAUGGUGAAUGCAACUUCGAAGCUUAAGGCUUUGGAGUUUGUCCUUAAUGAAAAUAUCCUAAUCCUCUUGAUAUUAGAGUCUCUCCCUCCAGAAUUUGAUCAGUUCAAGAUCUUACAAUUCCCUGAAAGAAAAAUGGGUGCUCGCGGAGAUGACUCCUCGAGUUGUUGAGAAAGAACAGAGGAUCAUGAAACAGGCAAAGGACCAGGCUUUUCAUGGUGGCUCUUCCAAGAGAAAGCAUGACGGCCAGGCAUCUUCCUCAAAGGCCCCAAAGAAGCAAUUCAUCCAAAAUGAUACUCAGGCUGCUCCAAAAGGGCAAGGGCCAUGCUGCCAGCACCUCUGCUAGAGAUGUGAAGAAUGCUUGCCAUUUUUGCAAGGAGGUAGGCCAUUUCCGGAAGAAUUGCCCUGGAUUCCUCAAGUGGAUGAUGAAGAGAGGUAUUAAGUUUGAUCCGCACCAUAAAGGCAAGAACAAGAAGCAUUAAAGUCGUCAAUGGGAAGGAAGCCGAUGUUGAAGCCGUGGGGACUCUCACAUUGGAGCUGCACACCGGCUUUCAUCUACAUUUGAAUAAUGUCCUUUACGUACCUACAUUGAGUAGGAAUUUAAUUUCAGUUUCUUGCUUAGACGAUAUUUAUAUUGCAUGUUUGUUUGGAAAUCAACGAUGCAUUA
Long non-coding RNA from Brachypodium distachyon (stiff brome), 3887 nucleotides. RefSeq lists it as uncharacterized. The record is from RefSeq and is a predicted model, not a curated record. The transcript is spliced from 3 exons. NCBI's taxonomy places the organism in Eukaryota, Viridiplantae, Streptophyta, Magnoliopsida, Poales, Poaceae.